AGCCACGCGGUGAGCACAAAGCGAACUAUUCUUUCGCCUUUUACUAAAGAAUACCGUGUGCUCGCCGCAUUUAGUGGCAUACGCCUAUUUUUAAUGGGGAUUUCUCCUCGUGAGAAGUC
This is a non-coding RNA of Morus notabilis, 119 nucleotides long. Lineage: Eukaryota; Viridiplantae; Streptophyta; Magnoliopsida; Rosales; Moraceae. The record is from Rfam.